CCUACGGGUGGCAGCAGUGAGGAAUAUUGGGCAAUGGACGAGAGUCUGAAGCAGCAAAGUAGCGUGAAGGAUGACUGCCCUAUGGGUUGUAAACUUCUUUUAUAUGGGAAUAAAACGUUCCACGUGUGGGAUUUUGUAUGUACCAUAUGAAACAGGAUAGGCUAACUCCGUGCCAGCAGCCGCGGUAAUACGGAGGAUCCGAGCGUUAUCCGGAUUUAUUGGGUUUAAAGGGAGCGUAGGUGGAUUGUUAAGUCAGUUGUGAAAGUUUGCGGCUCAACCGUAAAAUGGCAGUUGAAACUGGCAGUCUUGAGUACAGUAGAGGUGGGCGGAAUUCGUGGUGUAGCGGUGAAAUGCUUAGAUAUCACGAAGAACGCCGAUUGCGAAGGCAGUUCACUGGACUGCAACUGACACUGAGGCUCGAAAGUGUGGGUAUCAAACAGGAUUAGAUACCCCUGUAGUC
Molecule: ribosomal RNA, 460 nt
Filed under: uncultured bacterium
Lineage: Bacteria
Description: partial 16S ribosomal RNA
Rfam family: Bacterial small subunit ribosomal RNA
Source: RNAcentral